UGGGGAAUAUUGCACAAUGGGCGCAAGCCUGAUGCAGCCAUGCCGCGUGUGUGAAGAAGGCCUCGGUUGUAAAGCACUUCAGCGAGGAGGAAGGUGGUGAACUUAAUACGUUCAUCAAUUGACGUUACUCGCAGAAGAAGCACCGGCUAACUCCGUGCCAGCAGCCGCGGUAAUACGGAGGGUGCAAGCGUUAAUCGGAAUUACUGGGCGUAAAGCGCACGCAGGCGGUUUGUUAAGUCAGAUGUGAAAUCCCCGGGCUCAACCUGGGGACUGCAUUUGAAACUGGCAAGCUAGAGUCUCGUAGAGGGGGUAGAAUUCCAGGUGGUAGCGGUGAAAUGCGUAGAGAUCUGGAAGGAAUACCGGUGGCGAAGGCGGCCCCCUGGACGAAGACUGACCGCUCAGGUGCGAAAGCGUGGGGAGCAAAACAGGAUUAGGAUAACCCUGGUAGUCCACGCUGUAAACGAUGUCGAUUUUGGAGGUUGUGCCCUUGAGGCGUGGCUUCCGGAGCUAACGCGUUAAAUCGACCGCCUGGGGAGUACGGCCGCAAGGUUAAAACUCAAAGGAAUUGACGGGGUCAUAGCUGUUU
Molecule: ribosomal RNA, 586 nt
Filed under: uncultured bacterium
Lineage: Bacteria
Description: partial 16S ribosomal RNA
Rfam family: Bacterial small subunit ribosomal RNA
Source: RNAcentral